AACCCGGAAGGCUUUUUAUUUUAUUUUACUUUCCUUCACCUACUCUUCCACACCCACCUACUUCCUCCACCUUUCCUCCCACUUUCAGCUACUCCCACCCAACUACUCCUCAAAAUAAGCACAAAGUAGAGAUCAAUCACCACUUCCUUUCUCUCCUCAAGUCACGCUGCUUUCGAUCAAGAAGGGGAAACAACAAAUUCACAAUAUACAUCCCUCAUAUCUCAAGGCUUUAUGAACCAAGGAGAUUAGCGCUGCUUUCCCAAGACGAGUUUAUGUGAUUAUAAUCUUCAGGCUUUGCCUAUCCAGGUGGGCAUUACUUUUACUAUACGUAUAUAGAGAUCCCCUGCGUGUCGUAGGCCUCUUAUACGAAUAUAUGCAUGAGAUGAUUUUAACUGUUAAUUUCAUAUUAUUAUUAUGCCCAAAUGAUAAAUGACUCUUAUGAAAUGAAAAUGAAAUGUUUAUGAAAUGAAAUGAAAUGUUUAUGAAAUGAUUGACUGCCAAAAAUGUUUAUGUUUUUAUAUGUAUCCUAUCUGUGUUGGUUCGCCAACUUUAAAGGAAAUCCAAUUGGGAUCCUAUGCUAGACAAAGGUCGCUAGCUAGGGUUAACGUGUACACUUAUGGAGACCGCGAGUCGCUUGCGACCGGUCUUGGCGUCCGUGGUAAGGAGGCCUCCUUCCCGGCGCGUGACAGAAAGGAACAGAUAUGGAUCAUAUGAAGGAAAAUGAUCGGCCGAUCGACUUUAUGAAAA
This is a long non-coding RNA of Salvia miltiorrhiza (redroot sage), 747 nucleotides long. RefSeq lists it as uncharacterized. The record is from RefSeq and is a predicted model, not a curated record. Lineage: Eukaryota; Viridiplantae; Streptophyta; Magnoliopsida; Lamiales; Lamiaceae. The transcript is spliced from 3 exons.